This 251-nucleotide ribosomal RNA is filed under the name uncultured prokaryote. RNAcentral describes it as "partial 16S ribosomal RNA". It matches the Rfam family "Bacterial small subunit ribosomal RNA", at positions 524 to 774 of the family's 1533-position model. The record is from RNAcentral.
UACGGAGGAUGCAAACGUUAUCCGGAUUUAUUGGGUUUAAAGGGUGCGCAGGUUGUUUGAUAAGUCAGUGGUGAAAGUCUGUCGCUUAACGGUAGGAUUGCCAUUGAUACUGUUAGACUUGAAUAUGGAUGAGGUAGGCGGAAUGUGUAGUGUAGCGGUGAAAUGCAUAGAUAUUACACAGAACACCGAUUGCGAAGGCAGCUUACUAAUCCAUCAUUGACGCUGAGGCACGAAAGCGUGGUGAUCAAACA